Molecule: small nuclear RNA, 107 nt
Organism: Symphalangus syndactylus (siamang)
Lineage: Eukaryota; Metazoa; Chordata; Mammalia; Primates; Hylobatidae
Source: RefSeq, a predicted model, not a curated record
GUGCUUGCUUCGGCACCACAUAUACUAGAAUUGGAAAGAUACAGAGAAGAUUAGCAUGGCCCCUGUGCAAGGAUGACAUGCAAAUUCUUGAAGUGUUCCAUAUUUUU